RNAcentral lists this ribosomal RNA (1106 nucleotides) under uncultured eukaryote. RNAcentral describes it as "eukaryotic LSU rRNA". The stretch from base 387 to 1106 matches the Rfam family "Eukaryotic large subunit ribosomal RNA", at positions 1 to 619 of the family's 3401-position model. The record is from RNAcentral.
GGCGCUCUCGGGAUAGUCCUGGGAGCACACCUCUCUGAGUAUCGCCUACACCUCAACUCAGCCCUUUGCGGCUGGAGAAUGAGAGUCUGAGCACGGCUUAAUUGACCGAGCUCAGUCUCUUGAAAGUGAUGGAGCUCAGAGCCUCUGUGAUGCCUGCUACUGCUUCGGCAUUAGCUAGCCUCAGCAGCUGCUACUACACAAGACUAAGCUUAGUCAAGUGACGUGGAUAAUAGUUGAGAGCCUUCGGGCACUCUACUCUGAUACGUCUGCUCAGCUAAUGCUUCUGAUUUGAGUGGUAGAUUAACGGUUGUUGUGUGUGAAAGCAACUCAGUGCUCUAAGUGUCAGAAUUGAAUGGUUAGUAACUUCGGUUGCUAGCUCUCUGUUGAGAUCUCAGAUGAAGUGAGAAGACCCCCUGAAUUUAAGCAUAUUAAUAAGGGGAGGAAAAGAAACUAACUAGGAUUCCCUCAGUAACGGCGAGUGAAGCGGGAAUAGCUCAAGUUGAGAAUCGGGUAGCCAUGCGGUUCCCCGAGUUGUAAGCUAGAGACGUGUGAUCAGCGUGUGGCGCAGGUUGGAGUCCUUUGGAACAAGGCAUCACAGAGGGUGAGAAUCCCGUCCUGGGCCUGUCCGCCGCCGCGUACGAUGCAUGUUCAACGAGUCGAGUUGUUUGGGAUUGCAGCUCUAAGCAGGUGGUAAGUCUCAUCGAAAGCUAAAUAUAGGCGAGAGACCGAUAGCGAACAAGUACCGUGAGGGAAAGAUGAAAAGAACUUUGAAAAGAGAGUUAAACAGUACUUGAAAGUGCUAAGAGGGAAGCGCUGGAAGCCAGUGUGUGGACUAGCCAUCUUUUCCAACAGGCACGGGGAGCAUGCGGGCAGGUGUGGGUAACCCACUUGUCAGUAGUCGACUCGGGUCUGUUGGCUCCUGUGGUUAGUCCGAGGUCAGAAUCCAUUCGAAUCGGGGGAGACAGCUAGCAGGAAGGUAGGGUCUAGCAAUAGAUCUGUUAUAGCCUGUUAGCAAUACCUCGGCUUGGAUGGAGGCAACAUGAAAUAGAGCGCCACUAGGCGUGGCGGUUAGGUCCUGCUGGUUCAUUAGCGCUUGGAUAGCAAUC